UGGUAGUGUAUUGGACUACCAUGGCAGUCACGGGUAACGGAGAAUUAGGGUUCGAUUCCGGAGAGGGAGCCUGAGAAACGGCUACCACAUCUAAGGAAGACAGCAGGCGCGUAAAUUACCCAAUCCCGAUUCGGGGAGGUAGUGACAAGAAAUAGCAACUCGUGCGGGUUUCCGUUACGGGAUUGCAAUGAGAUAAGUCCAAAUCCGUGAACGAUUAACAAUUGGAGGGCAAGUCUGGUGCCAGCAGCCGCGGUAAUUCCAGCUCCAAUAGCGUAUACUUAAGUUGUUGCAGUUAAAAAGCUCGUAGUUGAAAUUCGAGUCAGUUACUAGUUGGCUUUUCGUCAGUUAGUUAAUUGAUUCUCCGUCUACAAUCCCUUCUGCGCUUUAGGGUUGCAGCUGGGCGAGUAGACAAUUUACCUUGAAAAAAUUAGAGUGUUCCAGGCAGGUCUUCGCCGGAAUACAUUAGCAUGGAAUAAUGGAAUAGGACUUGGGUCUUUUGUUGGUUUUAGGACUUGAGUAAUGAUUAAUAGGGACAGAUGGGGGCAUUAGUAUUUAAUUGUCAGAGGUGAAAUUCUUGGAUUUAUAAAAGACUAACUUAUGCGAAAGCAUUUGCCAAGGAUGUUUUCAUUAAUCAAGAACGAAAGUUAAUGGAUCAAAGACGAUCAGA
This 667-nucleotide ribosomal RNA is filed under the name uncultured ciliate. Its description in RNAcentral is "SSU rRNA". It matches the Rfam family "Eukaryotic small subunit ribosomal RNA", at positions 326 to 1012 of the family's 1831-position model. The record is from RNAcentral. Lineage: Eukaryota; Ciliophora.